RNAcentral lists this ribosomal RNA (304 nucleotides) under uncultured bacterium. Its description in RNAcentral is "partial 16S ribosomal RNA". It matches the Rfam family "Bacterial small subunit ribosomal RNA", at positions 506 to 807 of the family's 1533-position model. The record is from RNAcentral.
CAGCAGCCGCCGCGGUAAUACGUAGGGCGCAAGCGUUAUCCGGAAUUAUUGGGCGUAAAGAGCUCGUAGGCGGUUUGUCGCGUCUGCCGUGAAAGUCCGGGGCUCAACCCCGGAUCUGCGGUGGGUACGGGCAGACUAGAGUGAUGUAGGGGAGACUGGAAUUCCUGGUGUAGCGGUGAAAUGCGCAGAUAUCAGGAGGAACGCCGAUGGCGAAGGCAGGUCUCUGGGCAUUAACUGACGCUGAGGAGCGAAAGCGUGGGGAGCAAACAGGAUUAGAUACCCCCGUAGUCCCUGUCUCUUAUAC